This 110-nucleotide ribosomal RNA is filed under the name uncultured bacterium. Its description in RNAcentral is "partial 16S ribosomal RNA". It matches the Rfam family "Bacterial small subunit ribosomal RNA", at positions 1373 to 1482 of the family's 1533-position model. The record is from RNAcentral.
CCCGGGCCUUGCACACACCGCCCGUCACGCCACGAAAGUUGGUUCUACCCGAAACCGCCGAGCUAACCGCAAGGAAGCAAGCGUCUAAGGUAGGGCCGAUGAUUGGGACG